UGGCCGCUAGGUGAGUAUCCCCUUUCUUGUAUAGUGGCACUAUGUUGGCAUCUCUCCAGUCUUGUGGAACUUCUCCUGUGUCAAGUGAAAACUGAAAGAUUCUUGUCAGAAUUGGUGAUAAUUCUGCAGCAGUUAUUUGCAGUAUUUUGGUUGGUAUUUCAUCUGGUCCUGCUGCUUUGUUGGUGUUAAGGUUUUUUAACAGUUUGAAUACCCCAUUUUCAGUUACUGUGAUGUCAUUC
Molecule: long non-coding RNA, 239 nt
Filed under: Mytilus galloprovincialis (Mediterranean mussel)
Lineage: Eukaryota; Metazoa; Mollusca; Bivalvia; Mytilida; Mytilidae
Source: RNAcentral